Felis catus (domestic cat) is the source of this 873-nucleotide long non-coding RNA. RefSeq lists it as uncharacterized. Lineage: Eukaryota; Metazoa; Chordata; Mammalia; Carnivora; Felidae. The transcript is spliced from 2 exons. The record is from RefSeq and is a predicted model, not a curated record.
CCCUCCUUCUUUCCUUCUCAUUUUUACAGUUCUUUUUUGCAGACUUUCUUUGGGUUGAAUUGCUUCCUCGCCAAAUCUUGCAUGUGUUAAACCGUAAACUUCCAAAAGGCAAGAUUUGGUAAGAACCCUCCAUAACAUUUAGCAUAACACCCUAAAUAAAUAAUUAAUAAAAGCUUAUGGAGCACAGACUUAAAGAAUCAAUGCUUACUUAAGGCUUAUAAUGCUUGAUGCUUACUGGCCCCAGUCAGUGAGUUGGUUUUCUUUACAAUCCCUGGAGCUUCUCUCCAAAAUAUUUUACUGGUAUUUUUGCAAGAACGUACGGGGUUUCGAUUUGCCCAAUUUCUGCUUCGAAAACUUUUCCAUAACCCUUCUCUGCCUCAGAUACGGAAUUACAGGGUAAUGCUCUCUGUCAGUCAGCGUCGCUCUGCAGUCAUUCCACCGUAUGCCUGAUGGACUUCCAGCCCCAUGCGGGUCUAACUGCUGUAGGUGACUGUCCGGUUCUUUGUGAUUUGGGACUCGAGCCACAACACGUUUCCCGCACUCUUGUUUCGGGAGCGCACGCAGGACGAAAGGACAGGCGCCCCAGCCUUGGGAAUCCGCAUUACCAUGGAAACAGCCCCUGGUCCUACCCGUUUUCUGAGCUGACUGCUGAGGCUGCGUUUCCCACACUGGAGGGAGCCGGAGUCACGGACAAAUCCCGGGCUUCCCACUUCCUUCUGGCCGCUCUUUCUUCAGGUGCUCUACAAUACAAUUGAUUGUGAUUAGAGUACUUCAUCUAUUCGCUAUAACUGAUUAAGUUACCGCUUGAUUGUGUUACGGCUUCAUCCAUUUACUUUGAUUAGAUUGUUGCCGGAAAUAUAUGGAUACCAUCAA